AGCAGAUUUCAAUGGAACAGUGAUAACUUCCUUUGGAACAGUAAUAACAGCUUUUGGGAAAAUAUCACUUGCAUAAAUUGGUACUAAUUCUUUCCUUGGGCGACCUCUCCUUUUUGCCAUAACUCCUUCUACUAGGUUUACUUACCUACGCAGAAGCAGCAGAAAGAAGAAGAUGAAUAGCGAAGAAGAUGAAGAAAGUCAGAGAGAAGGCAGACAAGGGUAACUUGAUUUGGGAAUUG
RNAcentral lists this long non-coding RNA (239 nucleotides) under Nicotiana benthamiana. Its description in RNAcentral is "long non-coding RNA (NBEN_LNC009495)". The record is from RNAcentral. Lineage: Eukaryota; Viridiplantae; Streptophyta; Magnoliopsida; Solanales; Solanaceae.